Cucurbita pepo subsp. pepo (vegetable marrow) is the source of this 5230-nucleotide non-coding RNA. The record is from RefSeq and is a predicted model, not a curated record. Lineage: Eukaryota; Viridiplantae; Streptophyta; Magnoliopsida; Cucurbitales; Cucurbitaceae.
UUUUUUAUUUUUAAAGUUAUGUUUCCUUUUAUCAAAUUUUCACCAUUUUACAAACACAUUUGUACCUUUAAAUAAUUUGAUUAUACUUUUAUUAUCUUUUAAAGCAAUAUGUAGAAUUCGUUUUUAGAAAACCAAAAAUAAAAUAGGUAUUUCUUCCCCCCCCCUAAAAUUGAUUGAAAAAGUCGUACAAAAUUUCCCGGUCAACACUCAAUUAUAAAGUGGAAAUUGAUCUUACUUUUUUGUUGUUUUUGGUUUCAAUUGUUUUCUUGCUUUUUUUAGUUUAAAAAAAAAAAAAACUGAAUGAAUUUGAACUUGUGGCCUUAGAGUCAAUGAUUUAUACUUAGAAGUGAUAAAAUAAACCAAAAUUUUGAUGUAAAACUCAUUAUUCUAGUAAAAUUUGGGAGAAAAAAAGAGCCAUAAAAGAAAAUAUUCUUAAGAUUGUUAAUGAUUUUACAACCUGGUCUCAUGGUCUCAAGUCGUUAUUUAUUCCUCUUAAAUAGUUCUUCCUUGCCAAACUUUCUUUGCACCCAUGUAGAAGGAAGGAAGCUGAAAGCGCGUUUGACGCAUUUAAAAAGGUUGUCUGGAAACCGUAUUGCACCUCUAAGAUAAAAGUUGGAGGGUUCAGGAGUGUAGAGACCUCAUUACAAAGAGUGGGGAGUGAAUGUCGCUAUGGGACAACUGGCCUAUGAGAUUUGAUUGGAGUUGGUCUCUUGUCAUUCCCUCCUAGGUGUAACUUUUUGAUUGGUUGUGGAUUCUUAAAUUGCCACUCUUCCUCCCUUUCCAUCACUGGACCUUGUGAUUACGCUCAUUUACAAGUGUUAUUUAGGUUAUUGUUCAUAGAGUAAAUCUCUAUUGUCAUAUUUCACAUUGUUUAAAAGUAAAUUGAAGUAAAAACAAGUAUAUUAGUGUUUGAGCUUUUAUUUGUAAAAGAGAGUAAAUGGGUGUAAAAAAAAGCUCAGUCAUGGUUCUUUUUGUGUAUAAUGGUAGAAAAAUCUAAAUGGGUUAUGUAUGCGAUCAUAUUUGAAGGAAGAAGACAAAAAUCAACUGAAUUCGGUACAUGUGAAAUUCAUUGAGUAUAAUGCUAUAACUAAACCUCAUUCAUUUAUCACUCCAGAUUUAGGAUUUGACCGAUUUUUAGAAAGUUCUCUAUCAAAACUUUUCAAUUCAAGAAAUUUUGAUCCGCUACACUUCACGCAUGGACCUCAAUAGAAACCUUAGAUCUUGAAGUCUAUUAGGGUGGCUAAAGCUUCAUUUUGGGAAAUUUGUUUGCACAAGUUUCUUUUUUAUCGCCCUAUCGAAUCUCCUUCAGUUCUAUUCGAGCUCCAUUCAUUCAAGUUUGUAGUUGCCGUUUUCCUUUAUAUUUUUUAUUGUUGUUAUUUGCUUUCUAUAAGUCGUAAGCUUUGUUUUAGCAUUUGAAUUCAAUUUCUAAAACUAACUUUUUAAACAGUUUUGUUCUUGAUUGAUCUAAGUGCAAAUUAGCCAUAGAUAGGUAUGUUUAAUUCUUCUAAAAGUACUUAUGACUCAUAGUUUUAAGUGUAAAUUAGGGGCAUGUUGUUGACACAUUUAAAUUUCAUUUUGUUUGAAUUGGAAAGAAUUUGAAAGAGCUAGAUGCAGGCGAAAAUGGAUAACAAUUGUUGUAUUAGCGUUGUUUAGUUGAGAAAAUUGCCCAUAAAGGUUGGGCAAGGCACUUAUGGCCAAAUAAGGUCGAGACCCCAAAGGGAGCCAAGUCUCCCAUUAGCCUUAAAGGCCAUGUUUCAAAGGAAUUAACCGUGUGUCAUAGAUCGAGCUAAGGUUAAGAUCCCCCAUGACAAACGAUCUCAUAAAUGACCAAUAGCUAAGGUGAUCCAAUUAAAACUCAAUCUUAUAACCAUUUUCUGAUCCAAUUAAAACUCAAUCUUAUAACCAUUUUCUGUGAUGACACCUUGAUAAUUCUGAUAAGGUUCUCGGCCCUAACUACACAACAAUUUCUUAUGUACGAAAAGAUGCGCUUGAAACCCUUUAAAUAUCCUGUCAACAAUAUUUACAAACUCAAUAACUAAACUGAGUAUCAAAGUGAAGGUGACUUAGCAUAACAGUUGGGCACAUUUCUCUUAUUUUGCAAGACAUUAGUUUGAUUUCCCGUUUCAUUGACAAAUUGAUUUUCAUCAAUAAAAUUUGGAAGUUUUUAUUUAUUUUUAAUUUUUGAUCUGAAAGUUGAAAAAGAAAAAUAACGAAAUUAGUCCAAAAAGCGGCUGUGCGUGAUGUGCUGUUAAGUAUGUAAAAAGUGGACGUUGGGAAUUCGCAACGGCUAUAUUUUGUUUGAACUUCAAAAUGAUCAUUACGAUUUUUGCACUUUUCCAUUUCUUCUUUUUUCUCAUUUCAACGGUUCUUCUUCUUCUUCUUCUUCUUCUUCUUUUUCCCCUGUAGCUCCCCUAAUUCCUCGUCCUUCCUUUCAUCCAAUCUUGAAGCCCCUCGAUUGAAACCCUAGUGAUCUGCAAAUCAAUCUUGAAAUCAAAUCUAGAUAAUUCUUCUUCUGCAGUUCUCUUCACUGUAAUGGCUCCAACGCCGUCUUCUAAAUCAAAUCAAAGUCACAUGAGCCAAUUGAGAACUCCUCAAGCGAAGCGGCUCAAUUUCCAUACCCCUAGGGCACAUCCAUCCCCUUUCCCCAAUUCCGCCAUUAAAGACUCCCAAUCCGAGCACCCAGCAGAAGUAAUCGGCCGGAUCCGAGAAUAUCCUGACCGGAAAGAAAAACCGGUUUCGAUUCUGCAGAUCAAUCCUGACGGUCAGAACGUUCGGGUUCGGGCCGAUUUCGGGUACCGCGAUUUCAGCCUCGAUGGUAUUUCUCUGUCGGAAGAGGAAGAUCUCGAUACGUUUUACAAGAAGUUCGUCCAAGCGAGGAUUCACGGCGUUAAGUUGGGGGAGAAAUGUACGAUUAUGAUGUACGGACCCACUGGCGCCGGCAAGAGCCACACCAUGUUUGGCUGUGCGAAACAGCCCGGGAUUGUGUAUCGGUCGCUGAAGGACAUUUUAGGCGACGGAGAAAGUGAAACCGCCGGCGGAGAGCGGUUGGGAGUUGGAAUGUUUGUACAAGUUACGGUGCUGGAGAUUUAUAAUGAAGAAAUAUAUGAUCUUCUAACGAGUAAUUCUGGUGGAGGGCUAGGGCUUGGCUGGCCUAAGGGCAGUGCCACUAAGGUGAAGCUUGAAGUGAUGGGGAAGAAGGCAAAGAAUGCUACUUAUCUAUCUGGUAAUGAAGCAGGAAAGAUUUCCAAAGAGAUUCAGAAAGUGGAGAAAAGAAGGAUUGUUAAAAGUACACUCUGUAAUGAGAGAAGUUCAAGAAGCCAUUGCAUGAUAAUCCUCGACGUGCCGACUGUCGGUGGGCGCCUAAUGCUUGUCGAUAUGGCUGGUUCUGAAAAUAUAGAGCAAGCUGGGCAAGUUGGAUUCGAGGCAAAAAUGCAGACAGCAAAGAUUAAUCAAGGUAACAUUGCACUGAAAAGAGUGGUUGAAUCAAUUGCUAAUGGUGAUUCUCAUGUGCCUUUUAGAGACAGUAAAUUGACAAUGCUUUUGCAGGAUUCUUUUGAGGAUGAUAAAUCCAAAAUUCUGAUGAUUCUAUGUGCCAGUCCUGAUCCCAAAGAAUUACACAAGACGAUCUCGACACUCGAAUAUGGUGCGAAAGCCAAAUGCAUCGUCCGUGGUCCGCAUACGCCGACGAAGGAUAAAUGUGGUGCUGAUGAGUCUGCUUCUGCUGUUAUUCUGGGAUCUAGAAUUGCAGCCAUGGAUGAUUUCAUCUUCAAGUUACAAAAGGAGAACAAACUCAGAGAGAAAGAGAGAAAUGAGGCACAUAGAGAACUCUUGAAGAAAGAAGAACAAGUGGCAGAAUUGAGAGCUAGGCUCGAGCAAGCAGGCUCGAGAGGAUCGGGGGCGAGCGAGGAAGAGAUCAAUUCGAAGGUGAACGAAAGAACCGAAAUUCUGAAACUUGAGUUGGAGAGGAAGCUGGAGGAGUGCCAGAGAAUGGCUCAUGAAUUUGUUGAAUUGGAAAGGAGAAGAAUGGAAGAGAGGAUACUGCAGCAGCAACACGAAGUCGAAACGUUGAGACGACGUUUGGAAGAAAUCGAAACCGGACUAUUGAAUUCAAGGAAUAAUGCAGCAACAAGCAAUGAUGUUGUAAACAAAUCAAGGGACAUGGAUGGCUGCAGGCUUGCUAAAAGGCUCUUAGGAGGAGUUUAUGCAAGUGCAGAUGCAGGGAUGGUGAAGUCCAUGGACUUGGACAUGGAUGAUCAAGAACCGAUCAUCGCCGGUAUGGAUUAUCAACCGUCUACCAACAAUGGUAUCCAAAGCCUACUAGAGAAAGUGAACGAGUCGGUCGAUCACGACGUGGUUUCAUCACGGUUUAGGGACAGUGAUAGAGUAUGCCUAAGUACUGUGUUAGAGGAAGACGAUGCAGAAGAUGAAGAGGAUAAGGAAGUAAUAGAAGAAAAGAGAGUAGUGAGUACAGUUAUGAACAGAAGUCAGAAUCUCAAGGAGAGAUCGGAGAUCGGCAUCGGAUUAAUAAACGAUGACGAAAACUCAAAGGACACCGCAUUCUCGAGAAAAUUGAGAAUUCAAAAUAUAUUUACUCUUUGUGGAAACCAGAGAGAACUUUCACAUCAAAUUCUAUCAGACAUGACGAACCAGAAGGGAGGAGCUGUAUUAGCAGAGAAUGAAGAGGCAAAGCUGCAGCCUAUAAAGCUAGCAGUAAAGGGGGGAGUGAACAGCCCAGGAGGUGUUGAUGAUGUUGUUGUGCCAUUGAGUCCAAUUCCAUUGUGUUCAAAGGAGAACAAGCUGCCCAUCACGCCAAACGACGUAUCGCAGCAACACGAUGGCCUAUCGCCGAGGCUUAGCACCACACCAUUCAUCACUGUAAGAAAACACUAGGAGAGAAGGGAAGGGGGACAUUUUUUAUGUUAGGCCCUUCUUGCAUUUUCCAUUGUGCUCAAAGGAGAACAAGCUAGCUGCCCGUCACGCCGAACGACGAAUCGCAGCAACGCGAUGGCCUAUCACCGAGGCGCUUUAUCUGCGCGACACCGUUCGGCACUGUAAGAAACAGAAAUUCAAUUGGCUGAUGGCUGCUGGGCUGCCAGGAAAAGGCAGAAGCUUUUCUUGGGAUGCUUUGUUUUGGAGGGGUCGACUCAAUUUUUAAGGGACUGACGUCAUUAAAAAGACAACUAAGAGAGAAAAAGGUUAUAAUUGAGAUGUUAUUAACUUUUAACGUUUA